This is an intron RNA of Chlorella variabilis, 329 nucleotides long. It matches the Rfam family "Group I catalytic intron". From Rfam's summary of the family: Group I catalytic introns are large self-splicing ribozymes. They catalyse their own excision from mRNA, tRNA and rRNA precursors in a wide range of organisms. Lineage: Eukaryota; Viridiplantae; Chlorophyta; Trebouxiophyceae; Chlorellales; Chlorellaceae. The record is from Rfam.
ACAUCACAAUCAUCUGUUUGGAGUGGUAGUUUUUAACAGGCGGCGUGAAAAGCGUGUCACCGCCUAGUCUUGGGCCUUUCGGCUCAAGGCAAGACCGUCAAAUUGCCUGGACGUCCUGCCAGGCCAUCGAUACCACCCUGCCCGGGAAACCGAGGCAGCGGAACCCUGGGGAAACUCGGGGGCAUGGUAAAAAUUCGAUGGCUAGGGACGAUGGGCAGCCAAGUCCUACGGGCAUGUCAUGCCUAUGGAUGCAGUUCACAGACUAAAUGUCGGUCGGUCAUCGUUGGCAGAUGGCUUGAGAUAUAGUCGGGCCGCUCCGAGAGGAGAGC